This 128-nucleotide small nucleolar RNA is filed under the name Echinops telfairi (small Madagascar hedgehog). RNAcentral's name for it is "Small nucleolar RNA SNORA73 family (ENSETEG00000025944.1)". Lineage: Eukaryota; Metazoa; Chordata; Mammalia; Afrosoricida; Tenrecidae. The record is from RNAcentral.
CCCAUGUGGAUGCUCCCGGGAGGCCACUCUCCCCGGACUCUGUCCUGGUGGCAUGGAGGAAGCACAGGGCUCUGCCCAUGAUGGACAGUCGGAGAUCAAGUUGGCCUUGAGUCCGCACCUGCACAGAG